UAUCAAUAAGCGGAGGAAAAGAAACCAACAGGGAUUGCCUCAGUAACGGCGAGUGAAGCGGCAACAGCUCAAAUUUGAAAUCUGGCCUCGGCCCGAGUUGUAAUUUGCAGAGGAUGCUUCUGGCAACGUGCCUUCCGAGUCCCCUGGAACGGGGCGCCGGAGAGGGUGAGAGCCCCGUACGGUUGGACGCCGCGCCUGUGUGAAGCUCCUUCGACGAGUCGAGUAGUUUGGGAAUGCUGCUCUAAGCGGGAGGUAAAUUCCUUCUAAAGCUAAAUACCGGCCAGAGACCGAUAGCGCACAAGUAGAGUGAUCGAAAGAUGAAAAGCACUUUGGAAAGAGGGUUAAAAAGUACGUGAAAUUGCUGAAAGGGAAGCGCCUGCGACCAGACUCGCGCCGGGCGAAUCAUCCAGCGUUCUCGCUGGUGCACUUCGCCCGGCCCGGGCCAGCAUCGGUUCUGACGGGGGGACAAAAGCCCGGGAACGUAGCUCCCUCCGGGGAGUGUUAUAGUCCCUCGCCUAAUACCCCCGCCGGGACCGAGGACCGCGCGUUUACGCAAGGAUGCUGGCAUAAUGGUCGUCGGCGACCCGUCUUGAAACACGGACCAAGGAGUCGAACAUUUGUGCGAGUGUUUGGGUGGAAAACCCUCACGCGCAAUGAAAGUGAACUUUGGUGGGAGCCUCGGCGCACCACCGACCGAUCCUGAAGUUUUCGGAUGGAUUUGAGUAGGAGCAUAACUGUUCGGACCCGAAAGAUGGUGAACUAUGCCUGUGUAGGGUGAAGCCAGAGGAAACUCUGGUGGAGGCUCGCAGCGGUUCUGACGUGCAAAUCGAUCGUCAAACAUGGGCAUGGGGGCGAAANACUAAUCNACCNAUCNAGCANAAGGUUCC
This 887-nucleotide ribosomal RNA is filed under the name Lulworthia medusa. Its description in RNAcentral is "LSU rRNA". It matches the Rfam family "Eukaryotic large subunit ribosomal RNA", at positions 41 to 958 of the family's 3401-position model. The record is from RNAcentral. Lineage: Eukaryota; Fungi; Ascomycota; Sordariomycetes; Lulworthiales; Lulworthiaceae.